GAGAGAUGCCACUAUACUUUUCUUUUCAAUGGUCCUUGGUUUGCUAAGAUUAACAUCGUUGGGACCUGUGAUCCUACCAAUGUUCACUACAUAAUGAGUUCCAACUUUAACAACUUCCCCAAAGGACCAGAAUUCAAGCAGCUUUUCGACGUCUUGGGAGACGGGAUUUUCAAUACCGACAUGGAUUUGUGGAGAAAACAGAGGAUGGUUGCUCAAGAAUUCAUGAGAAAUCAGUCGUUUCACAAAUUUUUGUUGAGGACUACCCGAGAUAAGGUGGAAAAAGGGCUUAUUCAUGUCAUUGACUAUGUUGCCAAACAAGGCUUGGUGGUCAAUUUAGAAGAUGUAUUCCAAAGGUUUACGUUUGAUACUACGUGCAUCUUGGUCACUGGCUACGAUCCUAAAUGUCUCUCCCUCGAAUUCCCUGAAGUUCCUUUCUCUAAAGCCUUGGAUGAUGUUGAGGAAGCCAUAUUUUAUCGGCAUGUCAGGCCACAGAGCUUUAUUAAGUUGCAGAGGUGGUUGAAAAUGGGACAAGAACAAAAAUAUAGAAAGGCAUGGGAAGUUCUUGACGAUAUUAUGACUAAAUAUAUAUGCCAGAAGAGGAAAGAACUGGAUACAACGACGAAAGGGUUGGUCUCACAAAAUGGUGAAGACGGUGUGGAUCUCUUAACAUCAUACAUAGCUGAAGAAAAACCAACAGGUUUGAAAUGUGAUGAUAAGUUCUUGAGAGAUACCAUUUUGAACAUGAUGCUUGCAGGGACGGACACCACCAGCUCUGCUCUUACUUGGUUCAUUUGGUUGGUCUCGAGGCAUCCGAUAGUGGAGAACAAGAUCAUAGAAGAGCUUCAAUCAAAACUACCUGCCGAGGAAACCAAAAAGAGGCGGCUAUUCAAUGCUAAAGGAUUUGGUUUAUCUACACGGAGCAUUAUGCGAGGCAUUAAGGUUAUAUCCACCGGUACCAUUCCAGCACAAGGAACCUCUCAAACCAGACAUACUUCCAAGUGGGCAUCCAGUUCAUCCAACCAUGAAAAUAUUGUUUAGUUUGUACGCAAUGGGAAGGAUAAAGUCUUUCUGGGGUGAAGAUUACCUUGAAUUCAAACCUGAAAGAUGGAUUAACGAGAGAGGAAGGAUUAAACAUGAGCCGUCAUACAAGUUCAUGUCAUUCAAUGCAGGGCCAAGGACAUGUUUAGGGAAGGAUGUGGCUUUCCUUC
Molecule: long non-coding RNA, 1208 nt
Filed under: Gossypium barbadense (sea-island cotton)
Lineage: Eukaryota; Viridiplantae; Streptophyta; Magnoliopsida; Malvales; Malvaceae
Description: long non-coding RNA (GBAR_LNC010499)
Source: RNAcentral